GACGUAGGGGGCCAGCGUUGUUCGGAAUUACUGGGUGUGAAGGGUUCGUAGGCGGUGUGGCAAGUUGGGAGUGAAAUUUCCGGGCCUAACUCAGAAGCUGCUUCCGAAACUGCUGUGCUAGAGUGCGGGAGAGGCGCGUGGAAUUGCAGGUGUAGCGGUGAAAUGCGUAGAUAUCUGCAGGAACACCCGUGGCGAAAGCGGCGCGCUGGACCGUUACUGACGCUGAGGAACGAAAGCUAGGGGAG
Molecule: ribosomal RNA, 245 nt
Filed under: uncultured bacterium
Lineage: Bacteria
Description: partial 16S ribosomal RNA
Rfam family: Bacterial small subunit ribosomal RNA
Source: RNAcentral